Molecule: ribosomal RNA, 1318 nt
Filed under: metagenome
Description: bacterial LSU rRNA
Rfam family: Bacterial large subunit ribosomal RNA
Source: RNAcentral
GGAUUGGGAGGGUUCUACGGAACCCGUUUGGUGAAUCUAGUGCCGAGAAAAGCCUUCUAUGUGUUGAAUUUCUAGUACCCGUACCCCAAACCGACACAGGUGGGUGGGUAGAGCAUACCUAGGGGCGCGUGAUAACUCUCUCUAAGGAACUCGGCAAAAUGGCCCUGUAACUUCGGGAUAAGGGGUGCCUGCGUGAGCAGGCCGCAGUGAAAUGGCUCUGGCGACUGUUUACCAAAAACACAGGUCUCUGCUAAGUCGUAAGACGAUGUAUAGGGGCUGACUCCUGCCCAGUGCCGGAAGGUUAAGGAAGUUGGUUAGCGCAAGCGAAGCUGGCGACCGAAGCCCCGGUGAACGGCGGCCGUAACUAUAACGGUCCUAAGGUAGCGAAAUUCCUUGUCGGGUAAGUUCCGACCCGCACGAAAGGAGUAACGAUCAGAGCGCUGUCUCGGAGAGAGACACGGCGAAAUAGGAUUGUCCGUGAAGAUACGGACUACCUGCACCCGGACAGAAAGACCCUAUGAAGCUUUACUGUAACUUGGAAUUGUGUUCGGACUUUGUCUGCGCAGAAUAGGUGGGAGGCUAUGAAACGUUCCUCGCGGGGAACUGGAGCCAUCGUUGAGAUACCACUCUGGCAGAGUCUGGAUUCUAACCUACGGGGACAGUUCCAGGUGGGCAGUUUGACUGGGGCGGUCGCCUCCUAAAAUGUAACGGAGGCGCGCAAAGGUUCCCUCAGGCUGGUUGGAAAUCAGCCAUAGAGUGUAAAAGCAUAAGGGAGCUUGACUGUGAGACCUACAAGUCGAGCAGGGACGAAAGUCGGCUUUAGUGAUCCGACGGCACUGAGUGGAAGGGCCGUCGCUCAACGGAUAAAAGUUACUCUAAGGAUAACAGGCUGAUCUCCCCCAAGAGUUCACAUCGACGGGGAGGUUUGGCACCUCGAUGUCGGUUCGUCGCAACCUGGGGCGGUAGUACGUCCCAAGGGUUGGGCUGUUCGCCCAUUAAAGCGGCACGUGAGCUGGGUUCAGAACGUCGUGAGACAGUUCGGUCCAUAUCCGGUGUAGGCGUAGGAGCAUUGAAAGGAUCUCUCCUUAGUACGAGAGGACCGGGAGGGACGUACCUCUGGUGUACCUGUUAUCGUGCCAACGGUAAACGCAGGGUAGCCAUGUACGGAGUGGAUAACCGCUGAAAGCAUCUAAGUGGGAAGCCCACCUUAAGAUGAGUGCUCCCUUGAGGCCACGGGAAGACGACCCGUUUGAUAGGCGCUAGGUGGAAGUGCAGUAAUGCAUGCAGCCGAGGCGUACCAAUAGGCCGAUGGCUUGUC